RNAcentral lists this ribosomal RNA (412 nucleotides) under uncultured bacterium. RNAcentral's name for it is "bacterial SSU rRNA". It matches the Rfam family "Bacterial small subunit ribosomal RNA", at positions 358 to 769 of the family's 1533-position model. The record is from RNAcentral.
GGAAUAUUGCGCAAUGGCCGAAAGGCUGACGCAGCGACGCCGCGUGUGGGAUGCCGCCCUUCGGGGUGUAAACCACGGUUGCCCGGGACGAACGGCGAGUUUCGACUCGAUUGACGGUCCCAGGUGAGGAAGCACCGGCUAACUCCGUGCCCGCCGCCGCGGUAAUACGGAGGGUGCGAGCGUUGUCCGGAAUCACUGGGCGUAAAGGGCGCGUAGGUGGCUUGGUAAGCGUGUGGUGAAAGCCCGGGGCUCAACCCCGGGUCUGCCGUGCGAACUGCCAUGGCUUGAGUACUGUAGAGGCAGGUUGAAUUCCGGGUGUAGCGGUGGAAUGCGUAGAGAUCCGGAAGAAUACCGGUGGCGAAGGCGGCCUGCUGGGCAGUUACUGACACUGAGGCGCGACAGCGUGGGGAGC